RNAcentral lists this ribosomal RNA (407 nucleotides) under Clostridioides difficile. Its description in RNAcentral is "bacterial SSU rRNA". It matches the Rfam family "Bacterial small subunit ribosomal RNA", at positions 1136 to 1533 of the family's 1533-position model. The record is from RNAcentral. Lineage: Bacteria; Bacillati; Bacillota; Clostridia; Peptostreptococcales; Peptostreptococcaceae.
CACUCUAGAGAGACUGCCAGGGAUAACCUGGAGGAAGGUGGGGAUGACGUCAAAUCAUCAUGCCCCUUAUGCUUAGGGCUACACACGUGCUACAAUGGGUAGUACAGAGGGUUGCCAAGCCGUAAGGCGGAGCUAAUCCCUUAAAGCUACUCUCAGUUCGGAUUGUAGGCUGAAACUCGCCUACAUGAAGCUGGAGUUACUAGUAAUCGCAGAUCAGAAUGCUGCGGUGAAUGCGUUCCCGGGUCUUGUACACACCGCCCGUCACACCACGGGAGUUGGAGACGCCCGAAGCCGAUUAUCUAACCUUUUGGAAGAAGUCGUCGAAGGUGGAAUUAAUAACUGGGGUGAAGUCGUAACAAGGUAGCCGUAUCGGAAGGUGCGGCUGGAUCACCUCCUUUCUAAGGAGA